UACGUAGGGGGCAAGCGUUGUCCGGAAUCAUUGGGCGUAAAGAGCGUGUAGGCGGUUCGGCAAGUCGGGUGUGAAAACUCCAGGCUCAACCUGGAGACGCCACCCGAUACUGCUGUGACUCGAGUCCGGUAGGGGACCACGGAAUUCCUGGUGUAGCGGUGAAAUGCGCAGAUAUCAGGAGGAACACCGGUGGCGAAGGCGGUGGUCUGGGCCGGAACUGACGCUGAGGAGCGAAAGCGUGGGGAGCGAACAGG
RNAcentral lists this ribosomal RNA (254 nucleotides) under uncultured bacterium. RNAcentral's name for it is "partial 16S ribosomal RNA". It matches the Rfam family "Bacterial small subunit ribosomal RNA", at positions 524 to 776 of the family's 1533-position model. The record is from RNAcentral.